AUACGGAGGAUCCGAGCGUUAUCCGGAUUUAUUGGGUUUAAAGGGUGCGCAGGCGGCCAUUUAAGUCAGCGGUUAAAUCGUGGGGCUCAACCCCAUUCUGCCGUUGAUACUGGGUGGCUUGAUUGCGGUCGAGGUUGGCGGAAUUCGUUGUGUAGCGGUGAAAUGCAUAGAUAUGACGAAGAACACCGAUUGCGUAGGGAGCUGACCAGACCGCAAAUGACGCUCAUGCACGAAAGUGCGGGGAUCGAACAGGAUUAGAUACCCUGGUAGUCCGCACAGUAAACGAUGAAUACUUGUUUUCGGCGAUAUAAUGUCGGAGGCAAAGCGAAAGCGAUAAGUAUUCCACCUGGGGAGUACGCCGGCAACGGUGAAACUCAAAGGAAUUGACGGGG
This 392-nucleotide ribosomal RNA is filed under the name uncultured bacterium. RNAcentral's name for it is "partial 16S ribosomal RNA". It matches the Rfam family "Bacterial small subunit ribosomal RNA", at positions 523 to 918 of the family's 1533-position model. The record is from RNAcentral.